RNAcentral lists this ribosomal RNA (253 nucleotides) under uncultured bacterium. RNAcentral describes it as "partial 16S ribosomal RNA". It matches the Rfam family "Bacterial small subunit ribosomal RNA", at positions 524 to 776 of the family's 1533-position model. The record is from RNAcentral.
UACGUAGGUGGCAAGCGUUGUUCGGAAUUACUGGGCGUAAAGCGCGCGUAGGCGGCUCUUCAAGUCAGGCGUGAAAGCCCCGGGCUUAACUCGGGAACUGCGCUUGAUACUGUCGAGCUAGAGUGUGGAAGGGGCGAUUGGAAUUCCGUGUGUAGCGGUGAAAUGCGUAGAUAUCUGGAGGAACACCGGUGGCGAAGGCGGUUCUCUGGGAAUGUCCUGACGCUGAGGAGCGAAAGUGUGGGGAGCGAACAGG